Molecule: long non-coding RNA, 2317 nt
Organism: Cryptomeria japonica (Japanese cedar)
Lineage: Eukaryota; Viridiplantae; Streptophyta; Pinopsida; Cupressales; Cupressaceae
Exons: 4
Source: RefSeq, a predicted model, not a curated record
UUGAAGGAAUCGUGCAGUUGAAGAAUGAAUCAGAUCAUUACAAAAGAAUUGAUAUGAAUAUACGCUUUCUAAAUGAGAACAGAUUGAAUUGAUUCAAGUAUAAAUCGCCGCUUUCUCUAUGGAAUGGAUUUCAAGCUUCUUGGUAUGAAUCUAUGGUUUCUAAGUGAGAACAGAUUGAAUUUAUUCGAGGUAUAAUCUUUUUCCUGUCAGUAGUCGGAAUUUUAGCAGGACAGAUUUCUGCAACUGUUUUUCCUAUUAGUUUAUUAAAAAUGAGUCAUUUGAAAGACCUGAAAAUCAAACCUGUUCUGAAGAGAAAUGCCAAAGUGUAACUUAAUCUUCUUCUAGAGUAUCUAACUAUAGGAUCUUAGAUCAUUUCCUGGAGUUCAUGACACCUUUUUUUGUGCACACUAUUUGCUUAAGGUAUUUACCCUGGUAAAUUUAUCUCCUUUUCAUCGUCUGCAAUGAAGUGGUUUGGGAAUUUUGAUGAAUUUUGAUCUUAAUGAAUUUAGAAUCACUUUCUAAAUACGGUUUUCUCUCGUAUUCAUGGGUUAGCUCUUGCAAUUCUAUGGUUCCUAUACCCUUUUUUGCUAUGUCUGGCAGCCUAUAGAUUUAUGGGUUAAGAGACGUUGCCUACCCUAGUGUAUCAGUGUUUCAUUAUGAAUAUAAUCUAUGCUUACUCCACACCAUGUGGCCUAACAAUCAUAGUCUAAGUUUACACAUGACAUUGCAUAUCAAUUAUGGGGUAUAGUAGUUUAAGCAUAAGGAGGAGGAGGCUGGAAAACAGUGUUUCUGUUAAGAAUCUGUUAUAUACUUUGCAUGUUAUACAGCCUUUAUGGAGUCAUGGACCAUAUACUUGUUUACAAUAUUUCAACCAUUUUUCAAGGUAAUUUUUCAGGCCAUGGGUUUAUACCCACUGUUUCAUAAUUCCGCUUAUUUAUCUAUUGAAAGAAGCUGCUGAUACUAGUAAGGCCCCAGAGUACUCUAAAGAAAAUUGUGAGUAAUACAAAACAUAAGGUAUUCAGAAUUCUGUAAAAUCUUACAAAUUUUAAUAGUUAAGUUUCCAGAUAUGGUACGUUUUCUGACCCUUGUUUAUCCAACCAGAUUGUUCAUAAGAAUUGUUCUUGAGACUCUGAAGAGAAGUAUAGAAGAGCUCUUAAACGAAGCUAUCAUGUUACGGAUACAGAUCUGGCAGCUCUCCACAAACCAUGGAAUUCGAGACAUGCUCCAAAGAAAUUUGACAGCUUGGAGAAAGCCAGGGAGACGAUAUUAAAAAAAAUAAAAAAAUUCGUGUAGAUGUGGGAAUUUGAUACAUGGUAGUUGUCACUCAUUAAACAAAAAAUUCCGGUCUUGGUUCUUUUCUUUAUUCCACAGUCCCACAGCUGAUUAGCAUAGGUACAAUAGCCUAUGAUUUCAAAGCAUUUUCGAAGAAUAAAGGGAAGACCAAACAAAGAGAACACCAAAUAUGCAUGAGAAUAAAGUGAGCACCAAAUAUGCAUGAGAAGAAAGAGAACACCAAUUAUGCAUGAGGUAUCUUAUCCGUAUACAUAGACAAACAAUUAUAUCAUAUUACAAAGAGCCUGAACGGUACACAUAGUUUGAAGUUAAUUAUUUUAUGGAGAAUACCAUUUUUAUGUCUAUUCCCUUUGGUGAUUCCACUCCAUGCUUUAACAUUGCCUUUCUCAUUGUAAGCCUUUUUUAUGCUCGGCCGCCCUUUGUCUCGUAGAUUGAUGUACUGAGUUAAGACUCGAACAAAGGGAAAGCAAGCAUAGAAAGGCUUACAAUGGCGACGAUGAGAAGCAAAUGAUAUUUGAGGCAUUCAAGGAAAAUUUAUGUCUCAGCUAUGAUGGGAACCAGCAAAAUUUUUGGGGAUUGUUGGGUUUUACCAUGGGCUGCAGCAGUGGAAGGAAUUAAUCAUUGUUACCAAAGUUAUUGAACGGGAAGCCAAUUAAUCUCAUUGUUACCAAAGACAUGGAGUAUCUACAAGAAAAAUGAGGCUUUUAUCCUAGGAGAGAGAAGAUUAAUUUAGGAAGAGCUGAAGGUGAAUAAAGAAGGGAUAUAAGGGUAAUCUAGAUUUCUUUUUUGUGCAUGCAAGGUGCUCCCGAGAUGAGCAUUUGAUGUUAAAAGUGGUGCCCAUGCUAACAAGCAAUACAAAGAUUUUACCUCAGGUCACUAUAGGUCUUAUUAAAUGAAAACAUUGUUGUGAUUAAUUUGUUUGCAAUCUGGACGAAUAUGGAAAUAUAUUACAUUCAUAAGUUGGGCAACACAUGGAUGGAGUUGGGCAUCACAAUAUUGUUAACGCUACACAUCAAAGUAUGUG